Molecule: ribosomal RNA, 161 nt
Filed under: uncultured bacterium
Lineage: Bacteria
Description: partial 16S ribosomal RNA
Rfam family: Bacterial small subunit ribosomal RNA
Source: RNAcentral
UGGGGAAUUGUUCGCAAUGGGCGCAAGCCUGACGACGCAACGCCGCGUGGAGGAUGAAGACCUUCGGGUCGUAAACUCCUUUCGACCGAGAAGAAUGGCCUACGACCUCAUACGUCGUAGGCAUGACGGUAUCGAGGGAAGAAGCCCCGGCUAACUCUGUG